Molecule: ribosomal RNA, 1187 nt
Filed under: Escherichia coli
Lineage: Bacteria; Pseudomonadati; Pseudomonadota; Gammaproteobacteria; Enterobacterales; Enterobacteriaceae
Description: partial 23S ribosomal RNA
Rfam family: Bacterial large subunit ribosomal RNA
Source: RNAcentral
CAGUCAGAGGCGAUGAAGGACGUGCUAAUCUGCGAUAAGCGUCGGUAAGGUGAUAUGAACCGUUAUAACCGGCGAUUUCCGAAUGGGGAAACCCAGUGUGAUUCGUCACACUAUCAUUAACUGAAUCCAUAGGUUAAUGAGGCGAACCGGGGGAACUGAAACAUCUAAGUACCCCGAGGAAAAGAAAUCAACCGAGAUUCCCCCAGUAGCGGCGAGCGAACGGGGAGCAGCCCAGAGCCUGAAUCAGUGUGUGUGUUAGUGGAAGCGUCUGGAAAGGCGCGCGAUACAGGGUGACAGCCCCGUACACAAAAAUGCACAUGCUGUGAGCUCGAUGAGUAGGGCGGGACACGUGGUAUCCUGUCUGAAUAUGGGGGGACCAUCCUCCAAGGCUAAAUACUCCUGACUGACCGAUAGUGAACCAGUACCGUGAGGGAAAGGCGAAAAGAACCCCGGCGAGGGGAGUGAAAAAGAACCUGAAACCGUGUACGUACAAGCAGUGGGAGCACGCUUAGGCGUGUGACUGCGUACCUUUUGUAUAAUGGGUCAGCGACUUAUAUUCUGUAGCAAGGUUAACCGAAUAGGGGAGCCGAAGGGAAACCGAGUCUUAACUGGGCGUUAAGUUGCAGGGUAUAGACCCGAAACCCGGUGAUCUAGCCAUGGGCAGGUUGAAGGUUGGGUAACACUAACUGGAGGACCGAACCGACUAAUGUUGAAAAAUUAGCGGAUGACUUGUGGCUGGGGGUGAAAGGCCAAUCAAACCGGGAGAUAGCUGGUUCUCCCCGAAAGCUAUUUAGGUAGCGCCUCGUGAAUUCAUCUCCGGGGGUAGAGCACUGUUUCGGCAAGGGGGUCAUCCCGACUUACCAACCCGAUGCAAACUGCGAAUACCGGAGAAUGUUAUCACGGGAGACACACGGCGGGUGCUAACGUCCGUCGUGAAGAGGGAAACAACCCAGACCGCCAGCUAAGGUCCCAAAGUCAUGGUUAAGUGGGAAACGAUGUGGGAAGGCCCAGACAGCCAGGAUGUUGGCUUAGAAGCAGCCAUCAUUUAAAGAAAGCGUAAUAGCUCACUGGUCGAGUCGGCCUGCGCGGAAGAUGUAACGGGGCUAAACCAUGCACCGAAGCUGCGGCAGCGACGCUGAUGCGUUGUUGGGUAGGGGAGCGUUCUGUAAGCCUGUGAAGGUGUGCUG